This 490-nucleotide ribosomal RNA is filed under the name uncultured bacterium. Its description in RNAcentral is "partial 16S ribosomal RNA". It matches the Rfam family "Bacterial small subunit ribosomal RNA", at positions 28 to 507 of the family's 1533-position model. The record is from RNAcentral.
GAUGAACGCUAGCGAUAGGCUUAACACAUGCAAGUCGAGGGGCGGCAUGGUCUUAGCUUGCUAAGACUGAUGGCGACCGGCGCACGGGUGCGUAACGCGUAUGCCACUUGCCUCACAGAGGGGGUUAACCCGUCGAAAGACGGACUAAUACCGCGUACACUUGGGAUAGCGCAUCCUGACCCAAGGAAAUGAAAUUCGCUGUGAGCUAGGCAUGCGUCCCAUUAGCUAGCUGGUGAGGUAACGGCUCACCAAGGCGACGAUGGGUAGGGGAACUGAGAGGUUGAACCCCCAACCGGGUACUGGGACACGGACCAGACUCCUACGGGAGGCAGCAGUGAGGAAUAGUAGUCAAUGGGCGAGAGCCUGAACCAACCAAGUCGCGUGAAGGAUGACUGUGUUAUGGAUUGUAAGCUUCUUUUAUACGGGAAUAACAAGAGCCACGUGUAGCUCCCUGAAUGUACCGUAUGAAUAAGCAUCGGCUAACUCCGUG